CAGCCGCCGCGGUAAUACGGAGGGUGCAAGCGUUAUCCGGAUUCACUGGGUUUAAAGGGUGCGUAGGCGGGUAUGUAAGUCAGUGGUGAAAUCUCGGAGCUUAACUCCGAAACUGCCAUUGAUACUAUAUAUCUUGAAUAUUGUGGAGGUUUGCGGAAUAUGUCAUGUAGCGGUGAAAUGCUUAGAUAUGACAUAGAACACCUAUUGCGAAGGCAGCAGGCUACACAUAUAUUGACGCUGAGGCACGAAAGCGUGGGGAUCAAACAGGAUUAGAUACCCUGGUAGUCCACGCCCUAAACGAUGGAUACUCGACAUACGCGAUACACUGUGUGUGUCUGAGCGAAAGCAUUAAGUAUCCCACCUGGGAAGUACGACCGCAAGGUUGAAACUUAAAGGAAUUGGCGG
RNAcentral lists this ribosomal RNA (405 nucleotides) under uncultured rumen bacterium. RNAcentral's name for it is "bacterial SSU rRNA". It matches the Rfam family "Bacterial small subunit ribosomal RNA", at positions 509 to 916 of the family's 1533-position model. The record is from RNAcentral.